CUGUCGUCAGUGACCUUAGAUGGCAUCUCUGGGGUGUAGAUUCAUGAACAGGAAACUCAUAAAAAGGGGACUGAGGGCGAUGGGGAGGGGAGAGGUGAGCUCCCCACGCUGACUUAAGGAGAGAGAUCAGUGCUGUUCCUCAGCCUUCCGCUGGGGUCGAAGUGCUGGGGGCAACUCCCAGGCACCUCUGGGCUCCCCUUUGCUCAGAGGAGGGCUGUAGGGAUGAGUCUUUAAGCCACCAGAGAAAGGGGCUCUGGGAUCUGCCUAGUAUCUGCUGCAGCUGUGUGAAUAAGUAGCUUUAAAUGAAGGUGGAAAACGUGACACACUGUUGUUAGCAGUGGUGAGACAGUGUGCCGGGGCCGGGAGGAUUAUGAAGGCUGUGGUGGGGGGAGCUGAGCCUGUAGCAUCUGGGAAGACCACAUGGGCAAAGCAGCAUGGGAAGUAACUAUGGGGAGGUCCGAGCUGUCGCACCUGAGAGGGAAAGGUUCUGACUGAAGCCAGCACAGAGAGAGAAGUGCGGACGGGAAGUGCAGAUAGGGAUGAACACUGUGAGUCAGAGGAACCAAGGUUGCGUUCAUGUUUGGCUGCCUCCCCACCCCCUUGUCCUUUGCUUGCUUGUUGAUCUGAUUCUCUCUUGUUACAUUAAUUUAUUCAUUCAACAAACAUGCAUCUGGAGUCCACCGGACUCUCCCACUCCGUUCUUAUGGACCGCAGAGGCUGGUUCUUUUCAUGAAGGGCAGGCAGGGUGGCGGCUGGCAGCCCUAGUCCAAGGAGGUGAACCAAGUCUGUUCCUGCAUUCAUCUAUCACCUCUUUGAGAAAGGUUCAGUUUGGUCCUGCUGAGGCUGGGCUCACAGCGUUUGCUCCCAUCACUGAAAGGAGGGAGGGAAUGUUACAGUAACCAUUUCAGUGCAGAGCGGAAUCUUCUGUGAGGAAUGGCUGACCAGAGCUGGAUGAGGUCAUGCCAUAUUCUUUCCCCAUGGGACAGUAGCACCAGGCAGGCCUCCAACUGCAGAUGGGUGUCUCCCACAUGGUAGAGGACUCUAGAGGGAGCAAUAUCCUCUGGUGAAAGUGUGUGUGUGUGUGUGUGUGUGGGGGGGGAGCAGCAAUACUAGUUAAUCUGGGAUGGGAGUUGAGAAGACUCUGAAUACCAGGCCAGAAUCCUGGACUCUAUCUUGUGAGCUGUAGAAGAGGACAGGCCUGGCAUAAUCAGCAGCGAGGCUUGGGUCGAUCAUCUGGAGGAAACUUGGUGGGAGCAUAAAGUUCACUGGAUCCGAAAACUGAUUGAUAUCAAGGACGAAGCGCAGGUGGCUGCAGGGCUGUGUUCCUCCUUUGAAGUACUUGGUUAUCUCCUGGACCUUUUGAUGUCUUUGUCUUCUCUGCUCCUAUCUUGGGUCCCGAGAGCUCCAUCAUCUGAAGUCUUCUUGUUUGUAGGAGUCUCAGGAUGACUGGGAUGCCAUCUCUCAAUGCUAUCGUCACUUUCAUUCCCGAGUCACAUAUCCUCAGGUCCAAAAGACGAGCAUCUUCUCCAUGGCUUGUUCACGACCCACCUGAGGUCUGCCCUGUGGGGCUCCUGUGCCUCUGUGCUUUGGUCUGCUUCCUGCUUCUCAGUUCAACAGACAGCUGUGAUGUGAAGGAAGGCUUGGUCUCCCCGCUCUGAGACUGCUGUGAUGUGAAGGAAGGCUUGGUCUCCCCGCUCUGAGACUGCUGUGAUGUGAAGGAAGGCUUGGUCUCCCCGCUCCGCCCCACCCCUGCACCUGCAACAGCCCCCUCCUGGGAGCAGCAGUUCUCUUCCCAGGAGGGACACAUCCUUUGCUCCUCUGCCCAGACCCGACUGUCCUCCCCGCAUGGUUUCAGGACUCUCUAGUUACUGUUUCCUAUGGGAGCUUAAAGCAUCGUUUCAUACUACUUCUACUUGCCCUUAUUACUUUUAUUGUCCUAAGUGCACCGCAUUGGAUUGAGACAACUUCCAUUUUUUCUAUUCAGGCUCUCCUUAAUCCACAAAAACACCAUCAUUUCCUGAAUUUUCUUCAGCUUAGCAGCCCGCUUAGAAGGUGGCACACUAGCUUCAGUGCUAAUCAACACUUGGAAUUCUUUUGUAACAGCCCCAAGGUACUUUUUAAAACAAAUUUCUAGUUAGAAUGAGGCUUUUUAGUAGUAUGUUUGCAUUCUCGAAACUCUUUUCUUUCCGUUUUGGGAAGAAGAGCUGAUGUCAUGGCAGAGCUUUCUCCUUUUGCUGCAACUUCAGUUUCUUCUCAGAUUAUUUACUAAGAAUUUUAAGAAAAUUCUGUGAUGUCAACACAUGUGUCUGUCCCUGCUCAUGUGCCUUCCUGUAGAAAAAUGCCAACACUUGUCGAGUAGAACUGGUCUAUGACACCCUGCAGAGCAGCCUGUUCAGUGCCCCUGGUACAACUCAAUAACUUAAUAAAAGAUUGAAGUAUUUUUAAAAAUUACGUGUGUGUUUAUGUUUGGAUUUGUGCAUGUGACCGCAGUGACCACAGAAGCCAGAAGAGUG
Molecule: long non-coding RNA, 2513 nt
Organism: Peromyscus californicus insignis
Lineage: Eukaryota; Metazoa; Chordata; Mammalia; Rodentia; Cricetidae
Exons: 3
Source: RefSeq, a predicted model, not a curated record